This 326-nucleotide ribosomal RNA is filed under the name uncultured eukaryote. RNAcentral's name for it is "partial 18S ribosomal RNA". It matches the Rfam family "Eukaryotic small subunit ribosomal RNA", at positions 1470 to 1796 of the family's 1831-position model. The record is from RNAcentral.
CCCUUAGAUGUUCUGGGCCGCACGCGCGCUACACUGAUGCAUUCAACGAGCCUAGCCUUGACCGAGAGGUCCGGGUAAUCUUUGAAACUGCAUCGUGAUGGGGCUAGAUUAUUGCAAUUAUUAAUCUUCAACGAGGAAUGCCUAGUAAGCGUGAUUCAUCAAAUCGCGUUGAUUACGUCCCUGCCCUUUGUACACACCGCCCGUCGCUCCUACCGAUUGAGUGUGUUGGUGAGGAGUUUGGAUUGGCCUCGGAAGGUGGUUCGCCACCGUCCGUAGCUGAGAAGUUCUCCAAACCGCCCCACUUAGAAGAAGGAGAAGUCGUAACA